Molecule: ribosomal RNA, 671 nt
Filed under: uncultured bacterium
Lineage: Bacteria
Description: bacterial SSU rRNA
Rfam family: Bacterial small subunit ribosomal RNA
Source: RNAcentral
ACGCUGUAAACGAUGAUCACUAGCUGUUGGGCCGAUUAGGUUCAGUGGUUAAGCGAAAGUGAUAAGUGAUCCACCUGGGGAGUACGACCGCAAGGUUGAAACUCAAAGGAAUUGACGGGGGCCCGCACAAGCGGAGGAGCAUGUGGUUUAAUUCGAUGAUACGCGAGGAACCUUACCAGGGCUCGAAGGCAGGGGGAAUAUAUCUGAAAGGGUAUAGCCAGCGAUGGCCGCCUGCGAGGUGCUGCAUGGUUGUCGUCAGCUCGUGCCGUGAGGUGUCAGGUUAAGUCCUAUAACGAGCGCAACCCCUAUUCAUAGUUGCCAGCGGGUAAAGCCGGGGACUCUAUGGAAACUGCCUGCGCAAGCAGAGAGGAAGGAGGGGAUGACGUCAAAUCAGCACGGCCCCUAUGUCCUGGGCUACACACGUGCUACAAUGGCCGGUACAGAGGGCAGCGACCGCGUGAGUGGGAGCCAAUCCUAGAAAGCCGGUCUCAGUUCGGAUUGGAGUCUGCAACCCGACUCCAUGAAGUUGGAUUCGCUAGUAAUCGCGCAUCAGCCAUGGCGCGGUGAAUACGUUCCCGGGCCUUGUACACACCGCCCGUCAAGCCAUGGGAGCUGGGGGUGCCUGAAGUCCGUGAUCCUACGGGAAGCGGCCUAGGGUAAACUCAGUGACU